UUAAACUCCCAACCCAAUGUGAACAUACCAAACUGUUGCCUCGGCGGGGUCACGCCCCGGGUGCGUCGCAGCCCCGGAACCAGGCGCCCGCCGGAGGGACCAACCAAACUCUUUCUGUAGUCCCCUCGCGGACGUUAUUUCUUACAGCUCUGAGCAAAAAUUCAAAAUGAAUCAAAACUUUCAACAACGGAUCUCUUGGUUCUGGCAUCGAUGAAGAACGCAGCGAAAUGCGAUAAGUAAUGUGAAUUGCAGAAUUCAGUGAAUCAUCGAAUCUUUGAACGCACAUUGCGCCCGCCAGUAUUCUGGCGGGCAUGCCUGUCCGAGCGUCAUUUCAACCCUCGAACCCCUCCGGGGGUCCGGCGUUGGGGAUCGGGAACCCCUAAGACGGGAUCCCGGCCCCGAAAUACAGUGGCGGUCUCGCCGCAGCCUCUCAUGCGCAGUAGUUUGCACAACUCGCACCGGGAGCGCGGCGCGUCCACGUCCGUAAAACACCCAACUUCUGAAAUGUUGACCUCGGAUCAGGUAGGAAUACCCGCUGAACUUAAGCAUAUCAAUAA
RNAcentral lists this ribosomal RNA (557 nucleotides) under Trichoderma paraviridescens. RNAcentral describes it as "eukaryotic LSU rRNA". The stretch from base 176 to 329 matches the Rfam family "5.8S ribosomal RNA". The record is from RNAcentral. Lineage: Eukaryota; Fungi; Ascomycota; Sordariomycetes; Hypocreales; Hypocreaceae.